This 80-nucleotide transfer RNA is filed under the name Pseudoxanthomonas mexicana. Its description in RNAcentral is "tRNA-Leu". The record is from RNAcentral. RNAcentral also lists the same sequence under 1 other name. Lineage: Bacteria; Pseudomonadati; Pseudomonadota; Gammaproteobacteria; Lysobacterales; Lysobacteraceae.
CCGGAGUGGCGGAACGGUAGACGCAGCGGACUCAAAAUCCGCCGCCCUUAAAAGCGUGUGGGUUCGAGACCUGCGCUGAA